GGUAGUCCACGCCGUAAACGAUGUCGAUUUGGAGGUUGUGCCCUUGAGGCGUGGCUUCCGGAGCUAACGCGUUAAAUCGACCGCCUGGGGAGUACGGCCGCAAGGUUAAAACUCAAAUGAAUUGACGGGGGCCCGCACAAGCGGUGGAGCAUGUGGUUUAAUUCGAUGCAACGCGAAGAACCUUACCUGGUCUUGACAUCCACAGAACCUGGCAGAGAUGCCGGGGUGCCUUCGGGAACUGUGAGACAGGUGCUGCAUGGCUGUCGUCAGCUCGUGUUGUGAAAUGUUGGGUUAAGUCCCGCAACGAGCGCAACCCUUAUCCUUUGUUGCCAGCGGUCCGGCCGGGAACUCAAAGGAGACUGCCAGUGAUAAACUGGAGGAAGGUGGGGAUGACGUCAAGUCAUCAUGGCCCUUACGACCAGGGCUACACACGUGCUACAAUGGCGCAUACAAAGAGAAGCGACCUCGCGAGAGCAAGCGGACCUCAUAAAGUGCGUCGUAGUCCGGAUUGGAGUCUGCAACUCGACUCCAUGAAGUCGGAAUCGCUAGUAAUCGUGAAUCAGAAUGUCACGGUGAAUACGUUCCCGGGCCUUGUACACACCGCCCGUCACACCAUGGGAGUGGGUUGCAAAAGAAGUAGGUAGCUUAACCUUCGGGAGGGCGCUUACCACUUUGUGAUUCAUGACUGGGGUGAAGUCGUAACAAGGUAACC
Molecule: ribosomal RNA, 712 nt
Filed under: uncultured bacterium
Lineage: Bacteria
Description: bacterial SSU rRNA
Rfam family: Bacterial small subunit ribosomal RNA
Source: RNAcentral